AAGGAUGUCCACUAAAACAUACUGCUCACUAUGAAUGAAACUGUAGUGAUGCUUUUGGAGGCUGGAAUACAGAGGAUUAAACCAAGGAGCUGGAAUACAGAGGAUUAAACCAAGGAGCUGGAAUAAUGGGUGGCAGGAUUGGAUUUGAGAUGCUCGGGAACACGCUCAGGAAUUCUGAACGUGGUGUGGAGGUUACAGAGCUGCUGAAGGGAAAGGAUGAGCAGGGAGCUGAGCAAUCUGGAGGAAAGAAGAUGACAGCAGUCUAGGUGUGAAUUAUCAAAGCAGCCAGGCUGAAGAAGUAAAUCUAAGAGAUUCCCAAAGAUACAAAAAUAUUUCUUUUUGAGCCUUAUUUAUGAACAAGAGCAUUAAGAACCUUAAAUUAUUCAUCUCACUGAUCACUGAGAGCAAUUUGCCCUUUUGACAAUCCUUUUUCUCCAUUUUUGUUAUUGAAAGACACAGAUGGGUGCCUUUUGAGAGACCCUAGCAGAGCUUUGGGAUGUAUCUCAUAGGCACAGUGCCAUUGUCUUCCAUCCUGCUGUGAACAGGAAAGGGUUUUCCCAAAGUCAGUCAUCCUGUAAGGACAUUCUCUGCCUCUAAGCAAGAUUUUUAGCAUUGUUUGCUCUCAAUUAUAAUAGCUCAGUGUCCAGUGCUGUGUCAUUUUAGGGCAGGUUAAUAGAUGAACAGAAUAGAAAAAAUGUGAAAUUCCACCCUGCAGCUGCUGGCUCGAACCACCGUGUGCAGAGACACCAGCUUUUCCUGCUCAGCAGUAGCACAGUGCACAAUUUAACCCCAAAAACCCCUUCUCAAAGGUUUCCUUAAGCACAAAGGGGAAAAUCCAGGAUGUUUUCAAUAAUUGUCUUGUUGCUGACUGCAUAGCAAUCAGAGAGAGUAAUUUUCAAAGAGCAACUGAACCAAGGCUGCCAAAUUAUUCCUCAGGUAACUCCAAGGACUCACUGUAUGUAACAAUGCCUCCAGUAAGCAAGUUUGAACUUGUGGCCUCAGGACAAAAAAAAAAAAAAAA
RNAcentral lists this long non-coding RNA (1021 nucleotides) under Taeniopygia guttata (zebra finch). RNAcentral describes it as "lncRNA (ENSTGUG00000020395.1)". The record is from RNAcentral. Lineage: Eukaryota; Metazoa; Chordata; Aves; Passeriformes; Estrildidae.